GAUGAACGCUGGCGGCGUGCCUAAUACAUGCAAGUCGAACGCUUCACUUCGGUGAAGAGUGGCGAACGGGUGAGUAAUACAUAAGUAACCUGGCAUCUACAGGGGGAUAACUGAUGGAAACGUCAGCUAAGACCGCAUAGGUGUAGAGAUCGCAUGAACUCUAUAUGAAAAGUGCUACGGGACUGGUAGAUGAUGGACUUAUGGCGCAUUAGCUGGUUGGUAGGGUAACGGCCUACCAAGGCGACGAUGCGUAGCCGACCUGAGAGGGUGACCGGCCACACUGGGACUGAGACACGGCCCAGACUCCUACGGGAGGCAGCAGUAGGGAAUUUUCGGCAAUGGGGGAAACCCUGACCGAGCAACGCCGCGUGAAGGAAGAAGUAAUUCGUUAUGUAAACUUCUGUCAUAGAGGAAGAACGGUGGAUAUAGGGAAUGAUAUCCAAGUGACGGUACUCUAUAAGAAAGCCACGGCUAACUACGUGCCAGCAGCCGCGGUAAUACGUAGGUGGCGAGCGUUAUCCGGAAUUAUUGGGCGUAAAGAGGGAGCAGGCGGCACUAAGGGUCUGUGGUGAAAGAUCGAAGCUUAACUUCGGUAAGCCAUGGAAACCGUAGAGCUAGAGUGUGUGAGAGGAUCGUGGAAUUCCAUGUGUAGCGGUGAAAUGCGUAGAUAUAUGGAGGAACACCAGUGGCGAAGGCGACGAUCUGGCGCAUAACUGACGCUCAGUCCCGAAAGCGUGGGGAGCAAAUAGGAUUAGAUACCCUAGUAGUCCACGCCGUAA
This 779-nucleotide ribosomal RNA is filed under the name uncultured bacterium. RNAcentral's name for it is "bacterial SSU rRNA". It matches the Rfam family "Bacterial small subunit ribosomal RNA", at positions 28 to 805 of the family's 1533-position model. The record is from RNAcentral.